CCUACGGGAGGCAGCAGUGAGGAAUAUUGGUCAAUGGGCGAGAGCCUGAACCAGCCAAGUCGCGUGAAGGAUGACGGCCCUACGGGUUGUAAACUUCUUUUGUCAGGGAGCAAUUGGGUCCACGCGUGGGCUUAGCGAGAGUACCUGAAGAAAAAGCAUCGGCUAACUCCGUGCCAGCAGCCGCGGUAAGACGGAGGAUGCGAGCGUUCUCCGGAUUUAUUGGGUUAAAGGGGUGCGUAGGGGGAAGAUCAAGUCAGCGGUAAAAAUUCGGGGGUCAACCCCGUAGUGCCGUUGAAACUGAUGUUCUUGAGUGCGGUAGAGGUAUGCGGAAUGCGUGGUGUAGCGGUGAAAUGCAUAGAUAUCACGAAGAACGCCGAUUGCGAAGGCAGCAUACCGGCGCCCAACUGACGCUGAAGCACGAAAGCGUGGGUAUCGAACAGGAUUAGAUACCCCUGUAGUC
RNAcentral lists this ribosomal RNA (460 nucleotides) under uncultured bacterium. Its description in RNAcentral is "partial 16S ribosomal RNA". It matches the Rfam family "Bacterial small subunit ribosomal RNA", at positions 338 to 795 of the family's 1533-position model. The record is from RNAcentral.